GUCCCCUGCCCCAGCCUCCCUCGAGGGGCUUCGCUGCAAGAAAACGAGCGAAACAGUCCUUGGUUCUUGUCUGGGCCCUGUGAAGAUGCUUGUCCAUAUCCGAAAGAGAUCCAAAGAGACCCAAAGCAGGUCGGCAGUGUGAGCAAUGCCCUAUUGCCCUACAAUCCAAAGCUGUAUUUAUUUUCAGAUGUACAGUAAAAUGCUGAAGAAGAGACGGUUUCAAAUUGGUCCUUCAAUAGACCACCAAGAGUGUUUUAUAUUUCCUUAACCUUUAUUGAAUCUUCAUUACAAUUAAUGCAGACUGAAUUUAGCAAAUAUUUAACAGUUCCAACAGCCCAAGCUUCAAGAUUUACUAAGAGAUGCUCCUCUUCAGAGGCGUCUGUCAGAGGAGAAAGAGCAGGACAAAUCUCAGCAUUUAAGAUUUGUCAGUGCUGGUAUUUUCCACUGUAGGGCUGAAGUUGUGCACUCAUUGAACUACUUUGCACACACCAAGCAGUAGAGCAGUCCACAGAAAUGUUUCACAAUCUCUGUAGCAAAUGUAGGCCUAAGUCUGAAAAAUAAAAGUUGCUGGCACUAAAAUGCACCUUACUGCCCUCCACUGAACAUCUGCCAGGCUACAAUGGUCAGCAAAGACUGCUUCCAGAGGUACUGACCUGGAUGGCUCGUUGCAGAGUAGCUUUCCCUGCAGGAAAAGGUAGCAGGGUUUGGAGUCAAGGCAGAGACACAUCAGCCUCUUGUUGGGGUAACCUCAGUCAUCUUUUGUUCACAUACCCUGAGCUUCUUCAUUGCAAGAAACAGUUCAGCUCUAUGAUGGCAGUGAGUUUUUGAAAGGAAUCACUGGAAUUCUCACAGCCUGAGAAUUGAAUCUGGUGCCUUGGAUUCCUGCCUAAGGAAGAUACUGUUGUCCUAAAAAUUCAGGGAAAUUUUAACAGGUGAGGAUGCACAAGAAGUUCUUUGGUGGAUGCUGCCUCUGCUCUGUACGUUGAGAACCAUGCAGCUAAUGUGAGACAUUUGAUAGAGAAAAGUCAUGAGGAUACCAGGUGAAGCUCUAGCAGAUGCACAGUUUCAUGUACAAAAUAGUGUGUACCAGCUCCACGUGACAUCAACAUUUUUAAGAUGAUACAAGGAAAUACUGAAAUUGAACAGUUUCAGACAGAGAAAAUGUUCACUUGGAAGAUAUAUAGAAUCUGGUAUUUUCUCUGAAAAAAACCCUGCAUUUGAUAGGACAAAGUACAACUGUGUUAUGAAGAACAGCUUCUUGCUUUCCCUUACUGCAUCUGCAACAGUCCCUGUAUAAUGGGCCAUAAAGAUGUGAAUUCUGGAGCAGUUCACUAAAAAAUGUUGUACCUCUAAUAUCUCAACAUUCAGCUAAGUUAAGAGAAAUGGUGUCCAACCUCUGCAGAGCCACCAAUAGAUGUUAUACCAUCCUACCACCCCUGUUGUGGUACAGAAUAAAGUAAAAGAAGACAAAAAGCAAGAGACUAAAUAGAGACAGAAUGAGAAAUAAAACUGUAAAGAAUUAAUAGAAUAACAAGUUGGCAUUUUAGCAAAGGGUGGUGAAGGCUAUGCGUUCUCAUGGUUCUGUCACAAGGGAACUCUAAUACAAAGGUUUAGUUCAUAAAUAAGAGGAUGCUUUCACCAAUAUGCUUCACAACAAGAAAAGUUUGGCAGAGAGAUAUUUUAAGAGACAAAAGUAACAUC
Passer domesticus (house sparrow) is the source of this 1701-nucleotide long non-coding RNA. RefSeq lists it as uncharacterized. The record is from RefSeq and is a predicted model, not a curated record. The transcript is spliced from 3 exons. Lineage: Eukaryota; Metazoa; Chordata; Aves; Passeriformes; Passeridae.